UGCACACACAUGCAUCCACACGUGUGUGUGCACACACACACACAAACACACACACUGUUCUUGGCCCAUCCCCACUGGUGUCCCCACAGCAGCAGCGUUGGUAGGGCGGUAGCAGUGAGUCCCCCUCCCUGCACUCUCAGGGCCUGGGUGUGUACAGAACAGGCUCCACUCAGGACAGAUUUGAGACCCUUUGUCCAGACCAAGAGGUGGAAGUACACCCUCAAAAUUGAGGUGCUUUAACCUUAGCAGCCAGAGAACCAUAUACGGGACAUGUAAAAAAUGUGCAUUCCUGGGCCCCUUCAAACCCCUGACCCACUGUCCUCUGAGCAGACAACCCCUUAUCCCCCCAGCCCCAGAGACAGCCCUGCCCAUAGUCCAUGGUUACUUUCUUUGAAGUCUGUUCCAUCUAGUUAAGAAAGGACAGUGGUACAGACCCACUUACCAGGCAUCACCAGAGUCCCAGUGUCUGAGUCACAGGAUGUCACCCUCUGGGUCUAAUAUGCACUUGAAUUAACUGGCAUACUGCCUGGCACACAGAGGGAAUCUAGAUGUGGAAUGGAUAUGGGUGAUGUUACACGCCGCAUGUUUGCCUGCCCUCCAAAUUCAUAUGCAGAAAUCCUAACUCUCAAAGUGAUGGCAUUUAAGUCAUUAGUCAUACAAGUGGAGCGCCAUGGGAUUAAGAAGUGACAGGAGAGCUUGCUGUCACUCUCUGCUCUCCACUGUGUGAGGAUACAACAGGAAGACAGCCACUGGUGAGGAAGAGAGGGCCGUCGCCAGAUACCGGACCUGCUGACACCUUAAUCUUGGACUUUCCAGCCUCAAGGACGAUAAUUAUAUUCUGAAUACUUGGAAAACACUCCCUUCACGAAAUUGUUCUUUAAUUGGGUCUCUACAGGCCUGCCCUCAGUUGUUCCAGGGUAAAGAACUGGGGCAGUGCCCACACCCACACUGUUGGACAUUUCUUCACCAUACCGGUGAGGGUGUCUGUGUCCACGCCCAACGUCCUGCCUGUUACUCUCCACAAUGUGCCAUGAAUGUCCCUGACUUGUAGCCCGGUGCACCUUCUUUCACUUCUACUGCUACUACUAACAGCCUUGGAGAUCAUGGUUGUAUGACAGUGACAGCAACAUGGUCAAGCCUCUGGGUCUCCCGGAGAAGAAGGUAAAUUCCACCAGGACAUGGGAAGAAUUGACCCAAACGCUGGGAGAAGUGGGCCGAGACAUCACGAUGCUCCUUCUUGAUAUCAAACCCCAGAUAAAGACCAGUGGUGCUUCCACUCUGCAGGUCGAGAUGUUUUGUCAAUGUUAAGCAGAACGAUGCCCUGGUGGCAAAAAGGUGAGUGGCAGGCUGGUCUCUGGCCCUUGAGGAUGUCUUAGUCUGGUAAGGACUUGAGAGAGGUAAGCCAUGGGUCUCACCCAAGCCCCCUCCCCGAUCCAUCUCUCUCCACAGAAAUGGUGCACUGCCUUAGUCUUGAGCCCCCACACUACACAGCAGGGCUGGCAGCACAAACGUGCAGUGAGAGGAGGGAUGAAGCAAACAUCUCCUCCUGAGGAGGGGCAAGGUCCAAGAUCUGGAACACCUGCCUGGGGUGUUGUCUCCUCACCAACCAGCCCAGGGUUCCCCCAGCCCUUUGAUGGAAAGUUUGUUUGCUGUCUGCGUUUAGCAUGACUUAGCUCAGCAAGGUUCCAUCUCCUUUUCCUGUUCACCCUGAGAAGACUCGCUGGUGGCACUUGUGGCUGCAGCAUUUACUCCCAGAUAACACACAAGGUGUGGUAUAAGAAAUCCUUUCACCACCCUCUAAACAUUACAGCGCUGAACUCCUACGACCUAUUCAAGAAGGACAAUCCCAGCACAUGAUUAGCUAUGUAAAUUUCAGACUCACGUUGAUUGAAAGAAUGCUGGAAAAGCAUCACGGCCAGGGUGGUAACCUCUUCAAGGUCGCCUGUGCCCUGAUGGCGUCACACCCCUUGGCCUAUCUAGUAGUUUUUUUUUUUUUUUUUAAUACAUUCCUCAAACAUUUAUCGGGCACCUACUAUAUGUCAGGCACUGUUCUAGGUACCUGGGACACAUCAGGGAUUCUUGCUGUCCCAAGGUCAGAGAUGAGGAAUUCCAUAGGAUGAGUCUUCUGUUCUUAAACCCAGUGUAAAGACAAGCCCGUCAGGAAGGAGGGAGUAAGAUCUGGGCAUCAGAGCCCUCCAGCUGCUGCUCAUGGGGGUGAGGACACCAGGCCCCUGACUGUGCUCUGGCCUCUCUCCCAGCUCCCCGCCCAGGCCCACAGCUAUGGCCAUGGCCCAGGAGCUCAGCCACCUCCUGCCCAGUCUGCGGCAGGUCAUCCAGGAGCCUCAGGCAUCUCUGCAGCCCCAGCCUGCCUUCACCAUGGACAGAGCCAAGGUACUGCCGCUUUUCUGGAAGCUGUGCAUCUACACGGGCUACCGGCCACUGCAUCGGACCUGGCGCUUCUACUUCCGCAUGCGGUUCAGCCGCUGCUGCUGCGGCUGGCCGUCCUUGUGGGGACCAUGGACUUCCGGGGAGACCCACACGCCCUGCCCCUCUUCAUCAUUGUCCUCGUCUCUUUCACCUACCUCUCCUUCAGUGCUUUGGCUCACCUCCUGCAGGCCAAGUUCGAGUUUUUUAAAAAAAUACAUCGAGCGGACUAUUUAAGAUUUUUGCAUUACCUGUAGUAAGGUUGUCACGUUUCAACAAAA
Rhinopithecus roxellana (golden snub-nosed monkey) is the source of this 2705-nucleotide RNA transcript. RefSeq lists it as uncharacterized. The transcript has 5 exons. The record is from RefSeq and is a predicted model, not a curated record. Lineage: Eukaryota; Metazoa; Chordata; Mammalia; Primates; Cercopithecidae.